GACGAACGCUGGCGGCGUGCUUAACACAUGCAAGUCGAACGGAAAGGCCCUGCUUUUGUGGGGUGCUCGAGUGGCGAACGAGUGAGUAACACGUGAGUAACCUGCCCUUGACUUUGGGAUAACUUCAGGAAACUGGGGCUAAUACCGGAUAGGAGCUCCUGCUGCAUGGUGGGGGUUGGAAAGUUUCGGCGGUUGGGGAUGGACUCGCGGCUUAUCAGCUUGUUGGUGGGGUAGUGGCUUACCAAGGCUUUGACGGGUAGCCGGCCUGAGAGGGUGACCGGCCACAUUGGGACUUGAGAUACGGCCCAGACUCCUACGGGAGGCAGCAGUGGGGAAUAUUGCACAAUGGGCGGAAGCCUGAUGCAGCAACGCCGCGUGCGGGAUGACGGCCUUCGGGUUGUAAACCGCUUUCGCCUGUGACGAAGCGUGAGUGACGGUAAUGGGUAAAGAAGCACCGGCUAACUACGUG
RNAcentral lists this ribosomal RNA (469 nucleotides) under uncultured bacterium. RNAcentral describes it as "partial 16S ribosomal RNA". It matches the Rfam family "Bacterial small subunit ribosomal RNA", at positions 28 to 507 of the family's 1533-position model. The record is from RNAcentral.